Molecule: ribosomal RNA, 562 nt
Filed under: Aureobasidium proteae
Lineage: Eukaryota; Fungi; Ascomycota; Dothideomycetes; Dothideales; Saccotheciaceae
Description: eukaryotic LSU rRNA
Rfam family: Eukaryotic large subunit ribosomal RNA
Source: RNAcentral
CGGCGAGUGAAGCGGCAACAGCUCAAAUUUGAAAGCUAGCCUUCGGGUUCGCAUUGUAAUUUGUAGAGGAUGAUUUGGGGAAGCCGCCUGUCUAAGUUCCUUGGAACAGGACGUCAUAGAGGGUGAGAAUCCCGUAUGUGACAGGAAAUGGCACCCUAUGUAAAUCUCCUUCGACGAGUCGAGUUGUUUGGGAAUGCAGCUCUAAAUGGGAGGUAAAUUUCUUCUAAAGCUAAAUAUUGGCGAGAGACCGAUAGCGCACAAGUAGAGUGAUCGAAAGAUGAAAAGCACUUUGGAAAGAGAGUUAAAAAGCACGUGAAAUUGUUGAAAGGGAAGCGCUUGCAAUCAGACUUGUUUAAACUGUUCGGCCGGUCUUCUGACCGGUUUACUCAGUUUGGACAGGCCAGCAUCAGUUUCGGCGGCCGGAUAAAGGCUCUGGGAAUGUGGCCUCCACUUCGGUGGAGGUGUUAUAGCCCAGGGUGUAAUACGGCCAGCCGGGACUGAGGUCCGCGCUUCGGCUAGGAUGCUGGCGUAAUGGUUGUAAGCGACCCGUCUUGAANNACGG